RNAcentral lists this ribosomal RNA (460 nucleotides) under uncultured bacterium. RNAcentral's name for it is "partial 16S ribosomal RNA". It matches the Rfam family "Bacterial small subunit ribosomal RNA", at positions 338 to 795 of the family's 1533-position model. The record is from RNAcentral.
CCUACGGGAGGCUGCAGUGAGGAAUAUUGGUCAAUGGACGAGAGUCUGAACCAGCCAAGUAGCGUGAAGGAUGACUGCCCUAUGGGUUGUAAACUUCUUUUAUAAAGGAAUAAAACGAGGCACGUGUGCCUUUUUGCAUGUACUUUAUGAAUAAGGAUCGGCUAACUCCGUGCCAGCAGCCGCGGUAAUACGGAGGAUCCGAGCGUUAUCCGGAUUGAUUGGGUUUAAAGGGAGCGUAGAUGGGUUGUUAAGUCAGUUGUGAAAGUUUGCGGCUCAACCGUAAAAUUGCAAUUGAUACUGGCAGUCUUGAGUACAGUUGAGGUAGGCAGAAUUCGUGGUGUAGCGGUGAAAUGCUUAGAUAUCACGAAGAACCCCGAUUGCGAAGGCAGCUUACUAAACUGUGACUGACAUUGAUGCUCGAAAGUGUGGGUAUCAAACAGGAUUAGAUACCCUUGUAGUC